AGGAUUCCCUCAGUAAGGGCGACUGAACGGGGAAGAGCUCAGCAUGUGAAUCUGCGUUUCGGCGCUGAAUUGUGGUCUGUUGACUCUGGCGUUAUUGGCCGGGCUAAGUCCCUUGGAACAGGGCAGCAUAGAGGGUGAGACUCCCGUCUGCCUGGCCUUUGGAGCUGGAUGUCUACGAGUCGAGUUGUUUGGGAUUGCAGCUCAAAGUGGGUGGUAAAUUCCAUCUAAAGCUAAAUAUUGGUGGGAAACCGAUAGCGUACAAGUACCGUGAGGGAAAGAUGCAAAGAACUUUGAAAAGAGAGUUAAAGAGUACCUGAAAUUGCUGAAAGGGAAGCGAAGGAAACCAGUGCUUGCCGAGGCAUAUUUCUCCCUCCGCUUGCGGGGUGGGCGCUGUGUCUUGGCCUGGGUCAGGCUUGGUUCGGUUGGUCGGAAGGGCGUAGCGGGAGUUGCCCGCUGCUUGCCUGCGACUGGCAGGACUGAGGUUGACAAAAUGGUUUUCUUUACCCCG
Molecule: ribosomal RNA, 508 nt
Filed under: Navicula cryptocephala
Lineage: Eukaryota; Bacillariophyta; Bacillariophyceae; Naviculales; Naviculaceae
Description: eukaryotic LSU rRNA
Rfam family: Eukaryotic large subunit ribosomal RNA
Source: RNAcentral